GCAGGGGUGGCUCAAUGGUUAAGGCACUGAGUUGCUGACUAGAAGGUUGGGGGUUCAAGCCCCCCUGUUGGG
Molecule: non-coding RNA, 72 nt
Organism: Pangasianodon gigas (Mekong giant catfish)
Lineage: Eukaryota; Metazoa; Chordata; Actinopteri; Siluriformes; Pangasiidae
Source: the annotation of a GenBank genome assembly